Molecule: ribosomal RNA, 774 nt
Filed under: uncultured Neocallimastigales
Lineage: Eukaryota; Fungi; Neocallimastigomycota; Neocallimastigomycetes; Neocallimastigales
Description: partial large subunit ribosomal RNA
Rfam family: Eukaryotic large subunit ribosomal RNA
Source: RNAcentral
UACUAGAGUAGCACUCGCAUAUCAAUAAGCGGAGGAAAAGAAACUAACAAGGAUUCCCCUAGUAACGGCGAGUGAAGCGGGAAGAGCUCAAAUUUGAAAUCUUAAAGGGUUUCCCUUUACGAAUUGUAGUUUAAAGAAGUGUUUUCUGUUGAGGUUUUGGUAAAAGUUCUUUGGAAUAGGACAUCAUAGAGGGUGAGAAUCCCGUAUUUGACCUUUACUUUCAACUUUGUGAUACACUUUCAAAGAGUCGGAUUGUUUGGGAAUGCAGUCCAAAAUGGGUGGUAAAUUUCAUCUAAAGCUAAAUAUUGGCGAGAGACCGAUAGCGAACAAGUACCGUGAGGGAAAGAUGAAAAGAACUUUGAAAAGAAAGUUAAACAGUACGUGAAAUUGUCAAAAGGGAAGCGUUUGACACCAGUGUUGUUUUUCUGAAAAUCAAUUAAAGAACUGUUUAUGCUAAGCUGUUUAGACUUUAUCAGCUAACUGUUUAGUUUUGAGCUUUUCUUUAAUGCACUUUUCAGUUAACAAGUCAACAUCAAUUUCUUUUGCUGUAAAAAAGCUUGAGGAAGGUGGCUUGAGAUUCGUCUUAAGUGUUUAUAGCCUCUUGCCUAUGCAGUCGGAGAGAUUGAGGUCUGCAGCGUAGAUCCUUCGGGGCUAAAUGCAUUUGUGCUAAGUUAUAGCAUUUUAUAGACAACUUGUUGACUAUGAUUUGUCUUGUAGCUUACUCGCUUAUGUUAUUUUACCUACGCUUAGGAUGUUGAUCUCUCACAGUCGAGC